This 3433-nucleotide long non-coding RNA is filed under the name Carica papaya (papaya). RNAcentral's name for it is "long non-coding RNA (CPAP_LNC011102)". Lineage: Eukaryota; Viridiplantae; Streptophyta; Magnoliopsida; Brassicales; Caricaceae. The record is from RNAcentral.
GGAUGUGAAAAUUUUGUGAAAUAAAAAGGAAAGCUAGAAGCAUAUGUGAAACCUGCUGAUCUUUAGAUCUGGUUUUCUCACACGAGAACAGGUCAAAACUCUUUUGAUUCUGUUCUGAGGCCUCUCCUGCUGCUUUUCAGUUUUUCCUUAUUAUAACUGAUUAACUUCUGGAUUGUUGACUGAGUGAGCAUUUUGGUGGCUAUAUGGCAGGAUUGGAGGCUCUGCAGCUUCUCUCUAGCUUAAAUUUGAGUUACAAUAAAUUCAGCAGUUUUACUGCCCUAGAGUCUCUGAGACAACUGAAGUCCUUGAAAGUGUUAAAUAUUUCAUACAACCAGAUUGGUGAACAUUCUGUUGACUUGACAAGGUACCUGUGCUCCUCUCCUUUGUCUCAUUCGGUGGGAAGUGAAUGGCGUAAUGAUGAAAUCGUAACAGGUGGUGUCUUUUUACCAACUUAUUGGCAUGCUUAUUUUGUUCUUAGAGGGCUGAACUUGAAACAACUAGAUGUUGUAGGAAAUGCAAUUGCCGAUGAGAAAUUCAAGUCUUUUCUGUUUAAGGUUCUGCCCACACUAAGGUGGUUGGAUGGAGAUUUGUGUUAGAUUCUUUGACGAUUUAGUUUUCAGCUUUUUGAGGAAUUCUCCUCUCCUCCACAGAAAAAGAGAAGGAUGGAAACAGUAGAGAAAGAAAAAAAUAUACAUAGUUGUGAUUUGCUGUAGCAUUUUUUUGUAAUGUGGUUCCAGUGAUGAACAUGUUAUUUAUAGUUGUUAACUAUAGAAACAGGAACUUUGGCAGUUUAUGUUGGCUUGUUAUAUGAUUUUAAACUGUAGAUUAACAACAUUUCAUUUGGGAAGGUUUAUCCUUUAUCUUGUUGUAGAUGACUGGUUUCUUGAUUAUCUAUUUAAACUAAUUUGAAUUGCUUGUCGUUGCCAUAUUCACGUAGGUAAUUACGGUUAUGGGGUGUACGAUUUCAUAGUGUUUAAUUUAGUUAAUUUCAAAAAACCCAAAAUGGGAAACAAGAAGUUGAUUGGUUUGGCACAUUAAAGUUUGUCUAGUCAUAACCAUUUCAUUUCAAAACAAUAGUUGCAUCCUUGUUAGAAUGCUCUUCCAGUUGAAUUUUCUUACAAUUACUUUACCCCAGUUUGGUCAUAAUGUGCCCAUAAAGUCAUAUUAUUUAUACAAUUACUCAACUAAGAGAAUCUAUUUCCAAUGUUAAGAGCAGCUAGAAAAUUGCAGAAGCAGGGUAGAAAUUUAAGCUGCCUUUGUGUAUGAAUUGUUUUUUAAUUUUUAUUUUCUAAUUCAUAUGUAUUUAUGUAUAUUUGCCUUCAUGGAAAUAUUAUAUAUAAAGUUGCAUACUUGUGGAAUAAAGACAAAUAGUUUUCCAAAAAAUACUAAAAAUGACAUUUUAAAAUUUGCUAAUUCCUUUAUCAUUUUCACUAUUAUUCUCUUCAUUGUUAAUUAAUUUCUAUGGUUUUGUAGGUGAAAUACAUACAAAUUUAGGGAAUAAAAUUAGAAAACAUUUUCAUAUAUCAAAAUCUAGCUUAAUUUCCUUUGAUUUUGACAGUAAUGAGUACUUGUUAGUCCUGCACCAUCUUAAUUUGCCAAACUGAGUAACUUCACCUAUUUGUUGAAAAAUAGUGCGGUUCAAAGUUGCGUAUUGGUUCAGAAAGACUUGUCUGCUUUUGCAAUUAUAGGAUUCCUUUAUCAAUCAAGCAAUGAUGACAAUAGAUUACUCCGCGGCUUGCAGAUUUGCAUUAUGGUUUUAAAUCCUUAUACUGGCCCAGUUCUUCUUUACAAGUAUUCUCGUGCAGUGAGAGUUACGAUUUGAGCCAUUUACAUUGGGGCUGUUAUUGGUUUGCAAGAAGAUUAGAAACAAAUAAAGAAAAAAGAAAGCGUGGAAGGGGAUUAUUACUAUUGUUUGGUAGAAAAGAAGAGUGAGAAAACAUAAAACAUCAAGCAUUUUAAUCUUCUUCAGUUGGUCCUUCCAGCUUAUGUGGAUUAAGAAAAUACCACUUCUUUGAUUAUCUGUGAUCUUAUUGUUGUACUUUCUUUUAUGAGUUAACCAACCAUCAGUGGAGAAGAAAGAAGGAAGAGACUGACAGGUUACGGUAGAAGUUUAUGUUGCAUUGAGUAAUAACGAACGUUCUUGAUUUUAUUACAAAGAUUCGUCAGACAUAGAUGAGAUUGAUCGAGUGAAUGCUACCCAGAACAACAUACACAUGGUAGAACAUGCUUGAUGGAGAGGCAACAAGAAUCUGAACUGCAAGGACUUUGAAAUGAAGAAAUGGAGGAGUUUGAUUAGCAAAAUGACGAAGCCAUCUUGAAUGUUUGCGGCAAGAAAGGCUUGGGGUUGACCUGCACAUUCAGGUAAGAUUUUAUUUAGCGUAACUUCACUGAUAUCAAGAUUUUAGAUUUGAGAUAAAUUUUGAUCAGCCUUAUCAGGCAUGUGUGAUAUCGGGGUUCAAUCUCCAUUAUCUACAGACUACUCGAGCAGAGGCUCAGGUCAAAAGAAAGUUACUUCUGACUAUCUAUACUGAACUCCCCAUAAUUUCUUUUAGAAAUAAUAAAUUUUUUUGAAAGAACGCUGAACUAACCAUAUGUGUCCUUGAAACUGUAGCUUUGGUAUCCUUCCUCCUUCUGAGACCCAUGAAAACACAUGAGACCGAUGACACCGGCACACAACCCAAGCAUUGCAUGAAAAAGAAUCUCUCUCUUCAUGCUCUUUGACUUUGAUUCCAUUUUGGAAUCUUUUAAAGGUUUUCGCCUUUUUCUUGGCUAAUUCUAUGACCUCCUAUAAUCAGUUUACUUGAGGAGCAGUGAGAUUGCUUAGCAAGUGCCUAAAAGAAAACAGCUUUUUUCAGUUUCUCCCCUUAGCUCUUUUCAUUUUCUGGCUAGGGCUCCUUUCAGCAACUCAAUUAACAACUGCAAAUGAGAUACUGAUGAUGCCUUUUCAUGGAGCCUGUAUUCUAUUAUAUACACGAAAAUAUCAUUACGUUAUUUAAUUUUUUGAAUCAUGAGACCCCACUUGUUACUGAAUUGAUUUUUGAACUUCUCUCUGGUCAAUAUUGACUUGGCAUAGGCAGAUCAUAUUGCCAUUAUUAUAACUAAGAGAGAAUCAUCCUUAAUAACAUGUGGGAUCUUUCUCUUCAGAUGAUGUCCUAGUAAACAAAUGUGUGGAUAAUAAAAAAUAGAAGCUUCCUUAAUAAAAUAAACUCCAGUUAGCACUUAUAGUAAGGGAUUCCUCUUUACACAAGAAGGAAACAAUAAACCGAGUUAGGUUGGAGAUAGGUGUGGGUCUUUUGCCUUGAGGAGCACGAAGUCAAUCUCAGACAGAAAGAAGACUAAUAGAAAAUAUGACUUGCUGAGUACGCUUGUGUGUCUGAGUAUUGUUAUUAUUAUUACUGAAGAACUUUUAUGGGUGCUUCCAGGUAUUAAAAAC